GUGUACCCCUUGCUUUCCGUACAUUUUUAAAACAAGAAAAUUGUGCCAUCUGGUUUGCUUAAUAUAAGGAAUGAACAUAUAUUAAGGGGGUGAACAUAAAACACCCUAGAUGAACCAUUAUCUGGCAUUAUCCACAACAGCAUUCUUUCUUCAUUGACCGGUUUUGCCAAUGUAAGCGCCGCUGUGUCUGCCAGUAGUGAAGGCCGGGACAGAGCCAUAUGUCGGAGUGGCUCAUGUACUGGGGAAGGAAGGAUGGAGUCAUAUUUGGUAGUUAAAAUCCCAAUGUCAUAAAGCAUGGACGUCCGAAAAUAGCUGGGCACUGCCAAGUCCAAAAAAACGGAGGACCACCAUGUCGAGACUGAUGCCGAGCUCACCGAGUAGAGUAGCCUGCUAGCCAGACAACUAACAUCACAAGCACCUCCGUUACCCCAGCCACUAGCAUCUGACAACCUCGGUGAUGAUGAGCCAGCACAGGUUGGGACCAACAUGGUUGAGUACCUGCACCAGGCGGAGGUGACCAGACCCUACCCAUUUGUGUUGGUUCUUCGGGACUGCUCACGGUUGUUUACAGUCAUUAGUGGACCGGCAAUGGAGCAAGGUACACUGCUUGGGUCACAGGAUGUGUGCUUCAAGUCUUAUUAUGUGUUUGAUAUCAACUUUCCCACUUUGCCCCAGCAUGGGAAUUCCUAUAGACCAUGGUGUAUCAGCUGCCAGAUACAGUAUCUCCUGCAGUAAGACUGUUGCAAGCAUGUAUUUUUUCCACUGAACAAUAGUGGAUAAGUAUCUGCUCUUGUAUGUAGUGUGAGAAGGGACCGGAGGAAACAAGUGUUCCUGUGAAUUAAUAGAUCAAUGGAUGGAUGGAUGGAUGAGCCACGAGGUUCUCAUUCCAUUGCUCUUAAGGCACUAUUUAUAGCUUUUUGCCUACAGUACAGUAUGUAUCUCAUUUGCCUUUAGUUUAACUACUGAAGCAUGUUCUGGUACAUAUUCAUUCUAUCGUAACAAUUUAUUUUAAAUACAAAUGUUACAUUUUGGGGAUUGUGAUUGAGUCAUUAGUCCAUGUCCUUAGUAUAGUGACCUUCAAAUGUAAUAUUUUACACUUGUUCUGUGUAACAAUGUUUUAAUUCGACCCAAAUGUAGACCAUUAUUGUAUGGCAAAACAGCAUGUGUGUGCUGUCACCUAAGAUAGUCGAAGUGUGUCAGUGAACGUGAAUAUCUACUGAUUUACCUCUGCCUUAAGUGGUAUUAACACAGAUCUGUGUUAAUACCACUUAAGACAGACAGUGUCACAUGCACGCAUGCUUUGUUUUUUCUCCAAUUUCAAGUGUGCACAUCAAUUUCAACUGAGGCUUUAGUCUGAUGUUUGGAAUGUUUGGUUCAUGAAAUAAUAUUAAUAAAUUCUAAUAAUCAAUCCUAUUUUAUGAAAUCUUAUCUUGUAAAAUAAUACACAGAGUAUUUAGGACAAUAGGGCUUUGUUUCAAUGUGCUAUUUAAAAAUAUAUAUAUUCUUGUACAUUCUCU
Long non-coding RNA from Oncorhynchus tshawytscha (Chinook salmon), 1517 nucleotides. RefSeq lists it as uncharacterized. The transcript is spliced from 3 exons. Lineage: Eukaryota; Metazoa; Chordata; Actinopteri; Salmoniformes; Salmonidae. The record is from RefSeq and is a predicted model, not a curated record.